Molecule: ribosomal RNA, 430 nt
Filed under: bacterium
Lineage: Bacteria
Description: partial 16S ribosomal RNA
Rfam family: Bacterial small subunit ribosomal RNA
Source: RNAcentral
UGGGGAAUAUUGGACAAUGGGCGAAAGCCUGAUCCAGCCAUGCCGCGUGUGUGAAGAAGGCCUUUUGGUUGUAAAGCACUUUAAGCGAGGAGGAGGCUACUUGGAUUAAUACUCUAGGAUAGUGGACGUUACUCGCAGAAUAAGCACCGGCUAACUCUGUGCCAGCAGCCGCGGUAAUACAGAGGGUGCGAGCGUUAAUCGGAUUUACUGGGCGUAAAGCGUGCGUAGGCGGCUUUUUAAGUCGGAUGUGAAAUCCCUGAGCUUAACUUAGGAAUUGCAUUCGAUACUGGGGAGCUAGAGUAUGGGAGAGGAUGGUAGAAUUCCAGGUGUAGCGGAGAAAUGCGUAGAGAUCUGGAGGAAUACCGAUGGCGAAGGCAGCCAUCUGGCCUAAUACUGACGCUGAGGUACGAAAGCAUGGGGAGCAAACAGG